UAUACAUGCCAACAUUUCUCAUUGGUUUGAUAUGUCAUGAAGAAUUUAUUAUAAUAUUUAGUAUUUGGUAUUAUAUUCUUUUCUUCAAUUGUUGAAGUGACAUGUAUUUUAAGAGUUAUUAGAAUUAUUGGCAUACUACAUUAAGUUCAUCUCUAACCACUACUUGCCUAAAUGAAGACACUACAAUUCAAGGGGUGGGCUAUAAUUGAAACCAACAACCAAAGUUGGGUAUAGGAUUGGUAAAAGGCAAAAAUUGACAUAAUGUUUUGGGGGCUUUUUCCUUUUGGGUGGGGAGGGGGGACAGAAUAUUUAAAA
This 315-nucleotide unclassified non-coding RNA is filed under the name Hevea brasiliensis (rubber tree). The record is from RNAcentral. Lineage: Eukaryota; Viridiplantae; Streptophyta; Magnoliopsida; Malpighiales; Euphorbiaceae.